AGUGAACGCUGGCGGUAGGCCUAACACAUGCAAGUCGAACGGCAGCACAGUAAGAUCUUGCUCUUACGGGUGGCGAGUGGCGGACGGGUGAGGAAUACAUCGGAAUCUACUUUUUCGUGGGGGAUAACGUAGGGAAACUUACGCUAAUACCGCAUACGACCUACGGGUGAAAGCAGGGGAUCUUCGGACCUUGCGCGAUUGAAUGAGCCGAUGUCGGAUUAGCUAGUUGGCGGGGUAAAGGCCCACCAAGGCGACGAUCCGUAGCUGAUCUGAGAGGAUGAUCAGCCACACUGGAACUGAGACACGGUCCAGACUCCUACGGGAGGCAGCAGUGGGGAAUAUUGGACAAUGGGCGCAAGCCUGAUCCAGCCAUACCGCGUGGGUGAAGAAGGCCUUCGGGUUGUAAAGCCCUUUUGUUGGGAAAGAAAAGCAGCAGGUUAAUACCCCGCUGUUCUGACGGUACCCAAAGAAUAAGCACCGGCUAACUUCGUG
RNAcentral lists this ribosomal RNA (492 nucleotides) under uncultured bacterium. Its description in RNAcentral is "partial 16S ribosomal RNA". It matches the Rfam family "Bacterial small subunit ribosomal RNA", at positions 29 to 507 of the family's 1533-position model. The record is from RNAcentral.